GACGAACGCUGGCGGCGUGGAUUAGGCAUGCAAGUCGAACGGUAGGAUACCUUCGGGUAUCUGAGAGUGGCGAACGGGUGAGUAACACGUAGGUGAUCUACCCUCAAGAUUGGGACAACCCAGGGAAACUUGGGCUAAUACCGGAUGAAAGCAGCAGUGAUGUUGUUUGAAAGGUGGCGUAAGCUGCCGUUUGGGGAUGAGCCUGCGCUCUAUUAGUUAGUUGGCGGGGUAAAGGCCCACCAAGGCGAUGAUAGAUAGGCGGCCUUAACGGGUGGUCGCCCACACUGGGAUUGAGAUACGGCCCAGACUCCUACGGGAGGCAGCAGUCGAGAAUAGUCUACAAUGGCCGAAAGGCUGAUAGUGCGACGCCGCGUGAACGAAGAAGCCCUUCGGGGUGUAAAGUUCUUUUAUAUGUGAGCAGUGCUUUCUAUGUGAACAGCAUGGGGAGAGAGAUAUUAGCAUAUGAAUAAGCAACGGUUCAACUCCGUGCCAGCAGCCG
This 499-nucleotide ribosomal RNA is filed under the name uncultured bacterium. RNAcentral's name for it is "bacterial SSU rRNA". It matches the Rfam family "Bacterial small subunit ribosomal RNA", at positions 28 to 517 of the family's 1533-position model. The record is from RNAcentral.